This is a long non-coding RNA of Phragmites australis (common reed), 591 nucleotides long. RefSeq lists it as uncharacterized. The transcript has 3 exons. The record is from RefSeq and is a predicted model, not a curated record. NCBI's taxonomy places the organism in Eukaryota, Viridiplantae, Streptophyta, Magnoliopsida, Poales, Poaceae.
UAAAUUUCCACCAUUUUUUGCAGUAAUUUUAUCAUUCAUUUUUUGUACAAACAUGUGUUCUGGUUUAUAUGUCUCUCUGUUCUAGCUCUUCUUCCCAAUCUGCCAUGAUGAUCAUUGGUUCCUAUUUGUUGUCGAUUUGCAUAACAAGUUAUUUCUGUUUCUAGACUCUCAUUUCUCCAAGGAUGAUGAAUAUCAAAUAUUUGCUCAUUAGAAGCUGAUACCAAGGUUCAGACAUGUGUGGCAUGAAUUUGUUCGUGCUGAGAUGCCUUUUCACAAGUUUAAGAUUACUUAUCCUUUUGUUCCAAAACAAAACAAUAUAGUUGAUUGGGUGUGUUUGUUAUCAAGUUCAUGGAGCUAUGGAGGUUCGGAGUGAAGAUGUUGGAUGAGUUUUCACAAGAUGACAUCAGCAACAUUAGAGUUCAAAUUGUCACUGAUUUACUAUUUAGUGAGCACAACACCGCUGAUACAAGUGUAGUCAAGAACUACUACACAUAGUUUUGGGAGUAUUUUCUGAGUGUUUCUCUUUUUUUGGCACAUGUGGAUGAUGGCUGAAAAAUCGCAUAGCUUAGAUAAUAUAGACAAGUGGAAGCA